UCCAGGAUUUCCACGGGAUGAUGAGAUU
RNAcentral lists this non-coding RNA (28 nucleotides) under Bombyx mori (domestic silkworm). The record is from RNAcentral. Lineage: Eukaryota; Metazoa; Arthropoda; Insecta; Lepidoptera; Bombycidae.